This 433-nucleotide ribosomal RNA is filed under the name uncultured bacterium. Its description in RNAcentral is "partial 16S ribosomal RNA". It matches the Rfam family "Bacterial small subunit ribosomal RNA", at positions 29 to 507 of the family's 1533-position model. The record is from RNAcentral.
AACGAACGCUGGCGGCAUGCCUAACACAUGCAAGUCGAACGAGACCUUCGGGUCUAGUGGCGCACGGGGGCGUAACACGUGGGAAUCUGCCCUUUGCUUCGGAAUAACAGUUAGAAAUGACUGCUAAUACCGGAUGAUGUCGAAAGACCAAAGAUUUAUCGGCAAAGGAUGAGCCCGCGUAGGAUUAGGUAGUUGGUGGGGUAAAGGCCUACCAAGCCGACGAUCCUUAGCUGGUCUGAGAGGAUGACCAGCCACACUGGGACUGAGACACGGCCCAGACUCCUACGGGAGGCAGCAGUGGGGAAUAUUAGACGAUGGGCGAAAGCGUGAUCCAGCCAUGCCGCGUGAGUGAUGAAGGCCUUAGGGUUGUAAAGCUCUUUUACCAGGGAUGAUAAUGACAGUACCUGGAGAAUAAGCUCCGGCUAACUCCGUG